Molecule: ribosomal RNA, 264 nt
Filed under: uncultured prokaryote
Description: partial 16S ribosomal RNA
Rfam family: Bacterial small subunit ribosomal RNA
Source: RNAcentral
UACGUAGGGGGCGAGCGUUGUCCGGAAUUAUUGGGCGUAAAGGGUUCGUAGGCGGUAAUACAUGUCAGAUGUGAAAUCUUGUGGCAUAACCACAUCAAGCAUCUGAAACUGUAUAACUUGAGUGGAGGAGAGGUAAGUGGAAUUCCUAGUGUAGCGGUGAAAUGCGUAGAUAUUAGGAAGAAUACCAGUAGCGAAGGCGACUUACUGGCCUCUAACUGACGCUGAUGAACGAAAGCGUGGGUAGCAAACAGGAUUAGAUACCCU